UGGGGAAUUUUGGACAAUGGGGGAAACCCUGAUCCAGCCAUCCCGCGUGUGCGAUGAAGGCCUUCGGGUUGUAAAGCACUUUUGGCAGGAAAGAAACGUCAUGGGUUAAUACCCCGUGAAACUGACGGUACCUGCAGAAUAAGCACCGGCUAACUACGUGCCAGCAGCCGCGGUAAUACGUAGGAUGCAAGCGUUAAUCGGAAUUACUGGGCGUAAAGCGUGCGCAGGCGGUUCGGAAAGAAAGAUGUGAAAUCCCAGAGCUCAACUUUGGAACUGCAUUUUUAACUACCGGGCUAGAGUGUGUCAGAGGGAGGUGGAAUUCCGCGUGUAGCAGUGAAAUGCGUAGAUAUGCGGAGGAACACCGAUGGCGAAGGCAGCCUCCUGGGAUAACACUGACGCUCAUGCACGAAAGCGUGGGGAGCAAACAGG
RNAcentral lists this ribosomal RNA (429 nucleotides) under Acidobacteriota bacterium. RNAcentral's name for it is "Acidobacteria bacterium partial 16S ribosomal RNA". It matches the Rfam family "Bacterial small subunit ribosomal RNA", at positions 355 to 776 of the family's 1533-position model. The record is from RNAcentral. Lineage: Bacteria; Pseudomonadati; Acidobacteriota.